GCGCAAAUACUAUAUUAUCUCACUUUUCGGUGGAUGAUAUAGUAGUGUUUAUUAGAUACAGAACCAAUACACCUGUAACAAGGUGUAGAAAAAGGUGAUUCAUAGUAACCGAACGGAUCGCAUAUAUUAUAAUCAUUUCGGUGAUUAUUGGCGAUAGAUCAUUCAAGUUUCUGACCUAUCAGCUUUCGACGGUAGUGUAUUGGACUACCGUGGCAGUGACGGGUAACGGGGAAUUAGGGUUCGAUUCCGGAGAGGGAGCCUGAGAAACGGCUACCACAUCUAAGGAAGGCAGCAGGCGCGCAAAUUACCCAAUCCUGACUCAGGGAGGUAGUGACAAGAAAUAACAACACUGGAAAUUCAAUUUCUAGUGAUUGGAAUGAUGGGAAUCCAAACCCCUUUCAGAGUAACAAUUGGAGGGCAAGUCUGGUGCCAGCAGCCGCGGUAAUUCCAGCUCCAAUAGCGUAUAUUAAAGUUGUUGCAGUUAAAAAGCUCGUAGUUGGAUAUCUGCUGGAAGCAAUCAGUC
RNAcentral lists this ribosomal RNA (523 nucleotides) under Sarcocystis buffalonis. RNAcentral describes it as "SSU rRNA". It matches the Rfam family "Eukaryotic small subunit ribosomal RNA", at positions 173 to 660 of the family's 1831-position model. Lineage: Eukaryota; Apicomplexa; Conoidasida; Eucoccidiorida; Sarcocystidae. The record is from RNAcentral.